This 210-nucleotide ribosomal RNA is filed under the name Triticum aestivum (bread wheat). RNAcentral describes it as "partial small subunit ribosomal RNA". The record is from RNAcentral. Lineage: Eukaryota; Viridiplantae; Streptophyta; Magnoliopsida; Poales; Poaceae.
AUGGUGGAGCUGCUCGGCACCAAGGCCGUCCAGGGGGAGGAGCCGCCCAGGAUACUCCACUUCAACCCCAGGAUCAGAGGCGACUUCAGCGGCCGCCCCGUCAUCGAGCUCAACACCUGCUACCGCAUGCAGUGGGCGCUGCCGCAGAGCAUGGUGGCACGAGCAUCUCGCAGAUCUUCAACCGGCAUCUGCGACAUGCAUAUUUCUUAG